GAUGAAGAACGUAGCGAAAUGCGAUACUUGGUGUGAAUUGCAGAAUCCCGUGAACCAUCGAGUUUUUGAACGCAAGUUGCGCCCGAAGCCUCGGCUAAGGGCACGUCUGCCUGGGCGUCACGCAUCGCGUCUCCCCCAAACCGCCAAGGCGGAGGGGAAGGAAGAUGGCUUCCCGUGCCUCACCCGGGCGCGGUUGGCCUAAAUUUGGAGCCCGCGGCACUUAGCUCUCGCGGCGAUAGGUGGUGAACAAGGCCUUGGCCGUGCAAACAACCCGCUGCGAAGCUCUAUGUCACGUGCGCUCGUCGGACCCUUUGAAGUUGCCUUCGGUGACUUAAAACCUUUGCGACCCCAGGUCAGGCGGGGCUACCCGCUGAAUUUAAGCAUAUCAAUAAGCGGAGGA
Molecule: unclassified non-coding RNA, 400 nt
Filed under: soil metagenome
Description: partial contains 5.8S ribosomal RNA, internal transcribed spacer 2, and large subunit ribosomal RNA
Rfam family: 5.8S ribosomal RNA (bases 1-120)
Source: RNAcentral